This 2712-nucleotide ribosomal RNA is filed under the name Klebsiella pneumoniae. RNAcentral's name for it is "bacterial LSU rRNA". It matches the Rfam family "Bacterial large subunit ribosomal RNA". The record is from RNAcentral. Lineage: Bacteria; Pseudomonadati; Pseudomonadota; Gammaproteobacteria; Enterobacterales; Enterobacteriaceae.
CCGGCGAUGUCCGAAUGGGGAAACCCAGUGUGAUUCGUCACACUAUCGUUAACUGAAUACAUAGGUUAACGAGGCGAACCGGGGGAACUGAAACAUCUAAGUACCCCGAGGAAAAGAAAUCAACCGAGAUUCCCCCAGUAGCGGCGAGCGAACGGGGAGCAGCCCAGAGUCUGAAUCAGCUUGUGUGUUAGUGGAACGGUCUGGAAAGUCCGACGGUACAGGGUGAUAGUCCCGUACACCAAAAUGCACAGGCUGUGAACUCGAAGAGUAGGGCGGGACACGUGGUAUCCUGUCUGAAUAUGGGGGGACCAUCCUCCAAGGCUAAAUACUCCUGACUGACCGAUAGUGAACCAGUACCGUGAGGGAAAGGCGAAAAGAACCCCGGCGAGGGGAGUGAAAAAGAACCUGAAACCGUGUACGUACAAGCAGUGGGAGCACCUUCGGGUGUGACUGCGUACCUUUUGUAUAAUGGGUCAGCGACUUAUAUUCUGUAGCAAGGUUAACCGUAUAGGGGAGCCGCAGGGAAACCGAGUCUUAACUGGGCGUUAAGUUGCAGGGUAUAGACCCGAAACCCGGUGAUCUAGCCAUGGGCAGGUUGAAGGUUGGGUAACACUAACUGGAGGACCGAACCGACUAAUGUUGAAAAAUUAGCGGAUGACUUGUGGCUGGGGGUGAAAGGCCAAUCAAACCGGGAGAUAGCUGGUUCUCCCCGAAAGCUAUUUAGGUAGCGCCUCGUGAAUUCAUCUUCGGGGGUAGAGCACUGUUUCGGCUAGGGGGUCAUCCCGACUUACCAACCCGAUGCAAACUACGAAUACCGAAGAAUGUUAUCACGGGAGACACACGGCGGGUGCUAACGUCCGUCGUGAAGAGGGAAACAACCCAGACCGCCAGCUAAGGUCCCAAAGUCAUGGUUAAGUGGGAAACGAUGUGGGAAGGCACAGACAGCCAGGAUGUUGGCUUAGAAGCAGCCAUCAUUUAAAGAAAGCGUAAUAGCUCACUGGUCGAGUCGGCCUGCGCGGAAGAUGUAACGGGGCUAAACCAUGCACCGAAGCUGCGGCAGCGACACUAUGUGUUGUUGGGUAGGGGAGCGUUCUGUAAGCCUGCGAAGGUGACCUGUGAGGGUUGCUGGAGGUAUCAGAAGUGCGAAUGCUGACAUAAGUAACGAUAAAGCGGGUGAAAAGCCCGCUCGCCGGAAGACCAAGGGUUCCUGUCCAACGUUAAUCGGGGCAGGGUGAGUCGACCCCUAAGGCGAGGCCGAAAGGCGUAGUCGAUGGGAAACAGGUUAAUAUUCCUGUACUUGGUGUUACUGCGAAGGGGGGACGGAGAAGGCUAUGUUAGCCGGGCGACGGUUGUCCCGGUUUAAGCAUGUAGGCUGGUUGUCCAGGCAAAUCCGGAUAAUCAAGGCUGAGGUGUGAUGACGAGGCACUACGGUGCUGAAGUAACAAAUGCCCUGCUUCCAGGAAAAGCCUCUAAGCAUCAGGUAACAUCAAAUCGUACCCCAAACCGACACAGGUGGUCAGGUAGAGAAUACCAAGGCGCUUGAGAGAACUCGGGUGAAGGAACUAGGCAAAAUGGUGCCGUAACUUCGGGAGAAGGCACGCUGGUGUGUAGGUGAAGUCCCUGCGGAUGGAGCUGAGACCAGUCGAAGAUACCAGCUGGCUGCAACUGUUUAUUAAAAACACAGCACUGUGCAAACACGAAAGUGGACGUAUACGGUGUGACGCCUGCCCGGUGCCGGAAGGUUAAUUGAUGGGGUUAUCCGUAAGGAGAAGCUCUUGAUCGAAGCCCCGGUAAACGGCGGCCGUAACUAUAACGGUCCUAAGGUAGCGAAAUUCCUUGUCGGGUAAGUUCCGACCUGCACGAAUGGCGUAAUGAUGGCCAGGCUGUCUCCACCCGAGACUCAGUGAAAUUGAACUCGCUGUGAAGAUGCAGUGUACCCGCGGCAAGACGGAAAGACCCCGUGAACCUUUACUAUAGCUUGACACUGAACAUUGAGCCUUGAUGUGUAGGAUAGGUGGGAGGCUUUGAAGCGUGGACGCCAGUCUGCGUGGAGCCAACCUUGAAAUACCACCCUUUAAUGUUUGAUGUUCUAACGUUGGCCCCUUACCGGGGUUGCGGACAGUGUCUGGUGGGUAGUUUGACUGGGGCGGUCUCCUCCCAAAGCGUAACGGAGGAGCACGAAGGUUAGCUAAUCCUGGUCGGACAUCAGGAGGUUAGUGCAAUGGCAUAAGCUAGCUUGACUGCGAGCGUGACGGCGCGAGCAGGUGCGAAAGCAGGUCAUAGUGAUCCGGUGGUUCUGAAUGGAAGGGCCAUCGCUCAACGGAUAAAAGGUACUCCGGGGAUAACAGGCUGAUACCGCCCAAGAGUUCAUAUCGACGGCGGUGUUUGGCACCUCGAUGUCGGCUCAUCACAUCCUGGGGCUGAAGUAGGUCCCAAGGGUAUGGCUGUUCGCCAUUUAAAGUGGUACGCGAGCUGGGUUUAGAACGUCGUGAGACAGUUCGGUCCCUAUCUGCCGUGGGCGCUGGAGAAUUGAGGGGGGCUGCUCCUAGUACGAGAGGACCGGAGUGGACGCAUCACUGGUGUUCGGGUUGUCAUGCCAAUGGCACUGCCCGGUAGCUAAAUGCGGAAGAGAUAAGUGCUGAAAGCAUCUAAGCACGAAACUUGCCCCGAGAUGAGUUCUCCCUGAGACUUUAAGUCUCCUGAAGGAACGUU